GUCCAAACUGCCAGAUUUAUUGUUUCGCGUGAAAGACUUACAUUAUUAGAUAGGAAUCAUAUCGAUUUGUGAAAAAAAUUAACAACUUUAUAUCAAAAACAUUUAAUAUAUUCGAAGCUGCGGUUUGGGGAAAAUUUCAUAAUUUUAAAUAGCAUAUAAAACGGAAAACAUGAUAUGAGAAAGACGUAUAAUUGAGUAUUUAAAAGAGAAGUCAUGAAGUGUAAAGAUUAAAACCAAACUGAAUUAUGAAAAACAUGAAAAACGAAUUUAGCGAUUCUCUUAAUCAUAGACGUUGUCUACUUAUGCGGGUAGACCUCCUU
RNAcentral lists this long non-coding RNA (320 nucleotides) under Capsella rubella. RNAcentral's name for it is "long non-coding RNA (CRUB_LNC002610)". Lineage: Eukaryota; Viridiplantae; Streptophyta; Magnoliopsida; Brassicales; Brassicaceae. The record is from RNAcentral.